Molecule: ribosomal RNA, 1302 nt
Filed under: Staphylococcus aureus
Lineage: Bacteria; Bacillati; Bacillota; Bacilli; Caryophanales; Staphylococcaceae
Description: partial 23S ribosomal RNA
Rfam family: Bacterial large subunit ribosomal RNA
Source: RNAcentral
UGUGAAUACAUAGCAUAUCAGAAGGCACACCCGGAGAACUGAAACAUCUUAGUACCCGGAGGAAGAGAAAGAAAAUUCGAUUCCCUUAGUAGCGGCGAGCGAAACGGGAAGAGCCCAAACCAACAAGCUUGCUUGUUGGGGUUGUAGGACACUCUAUACGGAGUUACAAAGGACGACAUUAGACGAAUCAUCUGGAAAGAUGAAUCAAAGAAGGUAAUAAUCCUGUAGUCGAAAAUGUUGUCUCUCUUGAGUGGAUCCUGAGUACGACGGAGCACGUGAAAUUCCGUCGGAAUCUGGGAGGACCAUCUCCUAAGGCUAAAUACUCUCUAGUGACCGAUAGUGAACCAGUACCGUGAGGGAAAGGUGAAAAGCACCCCGGAAGGGGAGUGAAAUAGAACCUGAAACCGUGUGCUUACAAGUAGUCAGAGCCCGUUAAUGGGUGAUGGCGUGCCUUUUGUAGAAUGAACCGGCGAGUUACGAUUUGAUGCAAGGUUAAGCAGUAAAUGUGGAGCCGUAGCGAAAGCGAGUCUGAAUAGGGCGUUUAGUAUUUGGUCGUAGACCCGAAACCAGGUGAUCUACCCUUGGUCAGGUUGAAGUUCAGGUAACACUGAAUGGAGGACCGAACCGACUUACGUUGAAAAGUGAGCGGAUGAACUGAGGGUAGCGGAGAAAUUCCAAUCGAACCUGGAGAUAGCUGGUUCUCUCCGAAAUAGCUUUAGGGCUAGCCUCAAGUGAUGAUUAUUGGAGGUAGAGCACUGUUUGGACGAGGGGCCCCUCUCGGGUUACCGAAUUCAGACAAACUCCGAAUGCCAAUUAAUUUAACUUGGGAGUCAGAACAUGGGUGAUAAGGUCCGUGUUCGAAAGGGAAACAGCCCAGACCACCAGCUAAGGUCCCAAAAUAUAUGUUAAGUGGAAAAGGAUGUGGCGUUGCCCAGACAACUAGGAUGUUGGCUUAGAAGCAGCCAUCAUUUAAAGAGUGCGUAAUAGCUCACUAGUCGAGUGACACUGCGCCGAAAAUGUACCGGGGCUAAACAUAUUACCGAAGCUGUGGAUUGUCCUUUGGACAAUGGUAGGAGAGCGUUCUAAGGGCGUUGAAGCAUGAUCGUAAGGACAUGUGGAGCGCUUAGAAGUGAGAAUGCCGGUGUGAGUAGCGAAAGACGGGUGAGAAUCCCGUCCACCGAUUGACUAAGGUUUCCAGAGGAAGGCUCGUCCGCUCUGGGUUAGUCGGGUCCUAAGCUGAGGCCGACAGGCGUAGGCGAUGGAUAACAGGUUGAUAUUCCUGUACCACCUAUAAUCGUUUUA